RNAcentral lists this long non-coding RNA (573 nucleotides) under Brachypodium distachyon (stiff brome). RNAcentral's name for it is "long non-coding RNA (BDIS_LNC003284)". Lineage: Eukaryota; Viridiplantae; Streptophyta; Magnoliopsida; Poales; Poaceae. The record is from RNAcentral.
UCAAACGAAGUACAUCAGGGACAUGCUGAAGAAAUUUGGGAUGGAAUUGUAACAUCCCAAAAUUUCAAACUUUUACAUGAGCAUUGCAUCCAUAAGCAUCAUGCCACAAUUGCAUGUUUGAAUUCAAAUUUGAAUCACAAAAGGCUUUAAAAGAUUUUGUUUACACCUAUUUGAGCUUUGGACCUUCAAACCAUUAAGGUUUAUAUAUAAAAGGGGUUUAUUGCACAUAUGAGCUAUCCCAUAAUUUUUGGGUAAUUCUUUGGAGUUGAAAAAGUAUUUUAUUUAAAUAGAUAUGUGGCCCUAAAGGCAUUUAUAGGGCAAAUGUAUUUUUAUAUAUUUUAUUUUGAAGAGAAACUACUCCAAAAAGUUGUCUCAUGGUACAACAUGAUUUUACAAAUUUUCUGGAAUUUAUUUGGACCAAUUUGGAGUUCAAAAUCCAAAGAUAUCAAAGGAAUAAGAAAAACAGAAAAAGAAAAGGGAAAAAGAAAAAAAAAGGGGGAGGAACGGACCGGCCCGGCCGAAUUGGGUCGAACCGGCCCAACUCCCUCGCGCGCCCUGCCGCCCAGUCGGCCC